CAGUCGCCGCGGGAAUACGAAGGGGGCUAGCGUUGUUCGGAUUUACUGGGCGUAAAGGGCGCGUAGGCGGAUUUGUAAGUCAGGGGUGAAAUCCCGAGGCUCAACCUCGGAACUGCCUUUGAUACUGUGGAUCUUGAGUCCGGGAGAGGUGAGUGGAACUGCGAGUGUAGAGGUGAGAUUCGUAGAUAUUCGCAAGAACACCGGUGGCGAAGGCGGCUCACUGGUCCGGAACUGACGCUGAGGCACGACAGCGUGGGGAGCAAACAGGAUUAGAUACCCCUGUAGUCCCUGUCUCUUAUAC
Molecule: ribosomal RNA, 301 nt
Filed under: uncultured bacterium
Lineage: Bacteria
Description: partial 16S ribosomal RNA
Rfam family: Bacterial small subunit ribosomal RNA
Source: RNAcentral